This 206-nucleotide unclassified non-coding RNA is filed under the name Hevea brasiliensis (rubber tree). Lineage: Eukaryota; Viridiplantae; Streptophyta; Magnoliopsida; Malpighiales; Euphorbiaceae. The record is from RNAcentral.
CUCUGCGCCUCUUGUUACAAGCCAAAAGUUCCUAUUGAUUUUCCCAAAUUACUCAUUACCCAGCAUCUCUUCCUUAAUUUUGUUUCUCGUUCUAGUCGAAACAGGCAUAUCUUCUUCUUGGAUUGCUGAGUAUCGGAAACUCCUCUUUUUUGAGAACUGUGUAGCAGCUGCCUGCGCGCCAGCUAUAGCAGCAUCAAGACUCCGUG